Bombyx mori (domestic silkworm) is the source of this 1776-nucleotide long non-coding RNA. RefSeq lists it as uncharacterized. The transcript is spliced from 2 exons. Lineage: Eukaryota; Metazoa; Arthropoda; Insecta; Lepidoptera; Bombycidae. The record is from RefSeq and is a predicted model, not a curated record.
UUAAUGACUAAUUAACUAAGUAAAUUAAUUCAUCCAAUUUAACUUUUAUUAAGUCUAUAAAGGUUUACAGUUAGACGGCUUCUUUAUUAGGUACAUUGGAAUUAUAGGGAAUAAUGAAUGAAAUAAAAUCAAGUAGGUACGUUACUAUAAACAGCGGCUUAGCUGUGCCUUUAGCAUUUUUGAAUUUUAUAAAUUGGGUCACAUCUAAAUACUGGGGCCAGAAAAUAGUACCUAGAUUUUUUUUUUAUUGCUUAGAUGCGUGGACGAGCUCAUAGCCCACCUGGUGUUAAGUGGUUACUGGAGCCCAUAGACAUCUACAUUAUUAUGUAUGCACUUAUAUCGCACCCUUAAAACAUAAAUGGCACUAUACAAAAAAUGCUAUUUUUUAGUUAAGUAUAGUGUCAAAAUGCGUAAGACGAAACGCGCCUAAUGCAAAGACCCCUGUAGCUCUAAUGCGCUUAAUUUUCGCUAGAUGUUGCUAGUGUCACUUAUGAAUUUGUAACAACUUGCACGGUCGAUAAUUAAUAAACCGGCACUAUGCCAGAUCGCGACAAGUCACCGGAGGGAUCCCUUGUCGAGGUGAGUAAAAAACUGGCACAUUUCGUUAAGUGUCACUUAUUAUAUAAAUAUAUUUUCGAAUAUUUACACUGAGUAAGUGCAUAAGUGGCAGUUUGAGUUUAACGUCAGUUAUUUAAUAACUUUAAUUAGGAUUUUGUUUUCAGUCUUCUACAAGUCAACGAUAAAUUGUUUGAAUUUUACCAUCUCUGAGCUUGCAAGACAUAACACUGAAUGUUUUUUUCUGGGUAGAAUCAGAUAACUGCUGCGGCCAGCAGAAAAAUCAUCUUGCAUAGAUGUACAUACCGAUGAUGUGCACUUAACUGAAAAGUAACAUCUAUAACACACAAGUUUUAAAUCCGUGGACACACACAGAACGAAGGAGAUGCAGCACAUUCAACGAUUGAGCAACAAAUAAAAAUAAUACUUAAAUCUGGACCCAUUUAUGUGCCUUCCCAGUACGUAACCGACAUCAGAAGUGCAAAAAAACAUGGCACACCAUUCAAAGUAAACGAAAUGGCUUAUAACGAUUUCAUUGACAUCAAACAACUGCCCGUUCCUAGACUGAAAAAAAGCGUUGAAAGUGAGCUUGUAAAGGUGUCUGAUAUAAAAGUCAUCAAAGUGGUGAAAGUUGAAGAUAAUAAGGUAAAAUUUUGUUACAAAACAUCCUCCGUUGAUGAUUUCAAAGAACUUAACCUGGGAUCUAAAAGAGCCAGUGCAAGGAACCAGAGGACUGAAGAAUUGCAACAUCUGUAUAACCAAAAGUGAGAUUUAUACGAAAGAAUGAAGAGUGACGUGAAAAGCCUUUUAGAUGCUGGUUUGAUACCCAACUUUUACAAUUCCUACUUUGACAGAGUUUUGAACUAGGUGGGUAGUGUCCAACCUUUAAAAAAUGUAGUUGAUUAAUUAUUAUUUGUAAGAAGAGGUUUUUGAUAGGUGUUUUUUUUUGUGAUCUAUUUUACGGAUUUUUGUGCGGAAAUGUUUUUAAGUUACUGUCACUUUAUUAAUAUUUUUCUCGGUUCUAGAACUUGAUGUUUAAAGACCGAAUUGCUAAAAGACGACAGGUACUUACAUAAUUCAGUUUUACAAGAUUUUAUAGGAUGUACCUACCUACAUGAUGUUGAUACAAUAUUUUUUAUAAUUACUUACGGUUUUUUUGUGAAAAACAAUAUUUUUAAGUUAAGUACCUACUGUAAGUUAUAAUAAAUAAUAUUUUUGCUG